AGCGGUCGGUUCCGCAGGUGAGCGUGGCUGGUGCUGGUCCCCCAGCAAGAGCCUAAACUCCAUAUGUAAACUUUGAGUUCUCUUCCCCGGAUCAGCAAGACUACCUGUUCCUAGAGUAUCUCUUAGGCAGUUUCGAUAAUCCAGCGCUCUGAAGAUAAAAGGGAAGACGCGGCUAUUUCCCCAGGGAGAAGCUUCUCUAAAAUGCAAAGCAGGCUGCCUCCGGUCCUUGCUCAGACUGGUGCAGCGUGUGUAAUGUAUGUGCAAAGUACUAUUUACAGACCCUGAGAACACAAUACUGUGUGGUGCUGUAACGUACAGCAGCGGCGCUGGAAACCUGCGAUGUGAAGAGUAGCCACCUCCACGGGGGUGUCUCUGUGUGAGCAACAACUGGCACCGUAAUAGCGCACGGACCUUCCCUCCUCCAGCUGCGCACGGACUUCAAAGUGUGUCCAGCCGCUUUCUGCCUCUCCCUGCGAAGUUGGCGUCCUCGUGGACCCCGCUGAGCUGCCCACGCAAGCAGGUGAAGCUCUGAGCUGCCGUGCUCAUCUACUGCCUCCCCGGAGCACUUCUGGACGAGCUGAGCUGGUAGCAAAAGGAGUUCGUGUGAGGUUGUUCUGCGCUCUGUCACCCAAAUCUCUGCACUUCUGACUUGCUUCCAGAUUUGGGAGGCCAAAGUGAGAGUCUGACCCCGCCAGGUCAUCAGGAGUUUUGCCUUUGCCUAAGGCCAAGCUUUCACUUGUUCUGCACAAACUUUAAAUACAAGCAUCGUGUUUGUGGUCAUAUGCAGAACGAACUUAGACCUGGGGAUUAUUAAGGAUAUUAAAACGACCGGGGAUGUGAUCCUGUGAGCUACUGGCUGCCUGUUGCUCCCAGGGAAAUCAGGGAGACACGUCGCACUUGGCCCAGGUUGAGAAUGAUCUUGUCAAAGAAGGUUUCUGGGAGGCACCGGCCGCUUCCAUCAGCGCUUCCUGGCAACAAAUGGAGUGUGGGUCUGGGGGAGGAGGAGCUGCUUAGAAAAUGAAUGGAUUUUUCUUUUCUAAAUGGGAAGUAGCAAAGAGUGGAUGUAUGCAACAGCAGAUACAAUGAGCGCACAGUCUUCUAGCCCGUGUUCCCCCAGGGGUCUCUCGUGGAAUAUAGUGUGUACCCAAAGUUAUGGGAUACACAUUGUUUCCCAAGGCUUCCUAAAAGGGGACAUUCACCCAGCUCCAGACGUUCCCAGCUAUGAGCAUGGGUGUUUUGUGCGUGUCCGCCAUGCCCAAGGACGUCCGUCAUUCCGCGUCAGUGGUUUGAAGGCUCACGCACAGGAAUUCACUUGGGGCGCAGGGUCUGGGGCGACGCGUGUCUCCUGCUCCCCGAGACGCUGGGUUUGCUCCCGACAGAACAGCACCAGCCCCUCACGCCCGCCAGACCCAACACAGCUCCUUCUCUUUGACAAGUUUUUCUAAAAUACUUCACUGGAGAAAAUUAAUGCUUCAGAAAAUCUUUAUGGACAACUCGAGCUGUUUGAAGAGAGAAGCCGUUUUACAACAUUAACUACACUAGGUGUUAUUUGUGCUCGAUCUGAUAUAUGGAUAUAGUGUUUCACUAACUGAAGUGGUGCAAAAGGGCUGUGUAAUUUUUAGCUCUCGUGUCGAGGGUGCCUUGUGUAACUCCCCGGUGCAGUGCUUCGGGAGGGAACGGCGCUUUAGCUGGGAUAUUUUUUUUUCCCCCCUCAGUUUUUAAGAUGCCAAGGUGGUGGAUGAAGAAUUGGACGCACCGAUGCAUCCUAAUGCCCGUCAGGUAUAUAGGAAGGAAUUACCAUGUCUUUAAAGUAAAAAGCAGCUAAUUUGGCCCCUUGUUUAACGAGAAGGAGUUAGACUUGAGUAGCAAGUCCUGAGGAGGAGAAAGUAACCCUAUUUAUUUAAAAGGCCAAUAACUUGAGGAAAUGCUUUAAGCAAAAUAAUAAUGUAAAGAUCUGCUGUGAGUGGAGACACUCCCCACAUCCACUCCUGUGCCAUUCUCUACUUUAACCUUUAGAAAAAAAGCAUCCUGUUCCCAAUCUGCAUUUUGUAAUUUUUUCCAAAACAAGGAGCACCCGUAUUGGAUCGUACGAAGGAGCGAUGCCCAUCCGUGCCCUCCCAGCACCCGCGGGGUCCCUGACAGCGCAGGGAGGGAGCCGGCCGGUGCCGGGAAUCCUAAUCUGGUGUAUGGACACCUCCCUCUCUUUUCUGUUACUCGUAUCUUUCCUACUACUCACCAUCCCAUCCACGCAGUGCAGCGGGGACACAGAUAACCCCCAGGUUUUGGCACUUGGCUCCGCCAGGGACGACCUUUCCCAGUGAUUAUGUUGCAGGGACCCGUUCGUGUCAUCUUUUUACUAUGGAAUUCGACAGAUUUUUUCACAGUGGUUGUUUUCACAAGGAAUGCCCCCAAAAUCCAGACUCAGCACGUGACAGCUGAGCCGUCGGCAUACCCCCUUUCUUACGGUAACCUGUAACGUGCUCUAUAUGCAAUUCGGGUUACUCAUAAAUUAUUCUCUUUCCAAAUCAGGCACCUAUGAAUUAUUCUCUGUAAUUGAAAAUUACCUAUGAAUUAUUCUUUUUGUAAUUCACAGAUAUGUCAUUUAUUCUCUAUUAUAUUGACAUUGCUUUCUUGGAUAGAUGUGCCCGGGGCUGACGGUAACAGUGUAAUUCUCCAAAGCCACGGCAAUAUCACACAGCGCGAGUUCAUUCGGGAUAUUCUGACAAGACAGAAACGGUCUCGUGUGCAGAAAACCUGCGUUGUACAGGUCCAGAGAAGGGCACUCAGUACAUAAUGGAUUUAUUUGGGGGUUUUUUGUGGAAUUUGGCCCUAACAUUGCACAGACUGUAUUCUUAUAUACGUGUUUUUAAGCCUUUUUUUUUUUUAAGCUGGUCAUUCUGAAGUUGUUUGUUUUAUAAAUCAACUUGUAAGUCAUUUCUAACUCUGACUCUCCUCUAUACACUGCAGCCUGCAGACGCACAGAAGGAGAUUCAUCCCGUUCCCUUCCCCUCUCAGCUCCUGUGAAGUAUUUAGAGGCAGACUCACUCAACUGGGCCCUCGCCAUGUCAAGAGGGACAUUAGCAGAGUCUCUUAAAACUGAUUAAUUGCUUAAGCUAGGUGCCGUACUGUAAACAAGCAGUGAUAGUGCAGAGAAUGCAUGGCCAGUCAACAGAAGUGAAAAGCCCAGAGCAAACAUAACAAGCAUUACCUAAUUAUCGACACAUGCCCUACUUGCUUAAUAGCUCUUUUCCUGAGAUUUGCAGUUGGUGUCCGCUACUCCAGAGGAUCCGACUCCCCUUCCCGGGAUCACCCGGACGACAGCCUGAAAGCAAUUUUCUCAAUUUAUUUGUUGACAUGUACAGAGAGAGAUUUUUCUUGACUGAGAUGCUGAACUCUCAGCGGGCAACAAGUCCAGCGUGACGGGACAGAGAAAGGACACUGAGGUGUGCUGGCAUCUAACCAAAUAAAAAUAAAAUUCUCACUAGUCCAGCUCCUUCCGAAGGACCUAAACGCAGCCCCGUGCUCGGAGCUGGGCUCUGCCCGCGGAAAAGGCUCGGCUGCUGGGGUCAGCCCAAAUCUGCUUGGCCAGGUUCAGACCCAAAAUGGGGCAACUCCCAGGGGCUGCGGGGGAACUUGAAGACGCUCAGCGCUUCUCAGAAUCAAUCUCCUCUGCUCACGGAGGAAACACACCCUGGACCUCAUCAUCCCCAUCCACGUACCCACGAGGAACUGCAGCAUCUUCUGUUCGCUUUGCACUAAAUGGCCACAAAACUCUGAGUCAGAGCUGCGUGUGUCCCACACCAUAAAGUCAGAUAAAACCUUCUGGCCUCACGCACUGCCAGAUCCCAAUCAUAUUUGUGUGCAAUGUCUCUAGAACACGUUUGUGACUCGGAAACAGAUGCUCUGUGUGGUCUCUCCCAAAAUGAGUCAUUCCUGGAGUUGCGGAAACCUUCAGGGAUUCACACGCGCGUUUACCAGGAGGAGACUCUACCUGUCAUAUUGUGACUGUGAUUGAUAUGUUACUGCCGCACGGCUCUGUCCUGGAAGUUUGUCCUCACAUGAAUCUUCCUCAUUAAUUUACUUGGACUGUUGGCCAAGCCAGAUGGACACCUCGUAGGCAGACAGGUUUGUGGGACUGGAGAUUAGAUUUGUAAAGGUCAUUAAAUACCUAAGAUGGAGACAGGUGCUUGCAUCUGUCUUUAUUUAAAUCUUCUUAUUUAAGAGUUCUUAAGUAUUUAAGAACACCUAUACAUCCACUUUCCCCUUGGUUUUGUUUUACAUUAAAGCCUGCUCUCUUCAAUACACUUUUCUUCAUGUCAAUAUGCAUUAAGGACACACAUUAUCCCUAGUUUCAGUCUUCUGUCCUAAGGGGUUUAUUUAUUCUGUGCUUAUGCAUAAUGAUACUUUUUUUUUUUAGCACCUUCUAUCUGAGACUCUCUAAGCAUCAUACAAACGUGCAUGAACUUCUCUGUGCUGCCUUCCAGAAAACAAGCUGACAGUACAUGCCUUUGCCCCUGCUCCCCCUCAUCGCCCAUUUAUUCAUCAUUUUCGGUGCUGUCUCUAUUCAUUUCAGUCUGGUUAACCUCUCUGAGAUGCUUCUCCCAUGCAGAUGUGUGACGAAGGGCUGGCUGCCGCCUUCUUCCCUUGCUCUUACACGAAGCAAACCUCUACAAUCCACUGGCGGGUUCCUGUGCGUUUGCUAACCAGAGACCCAAAAGCACCCAGAAGCAGAGCAACACCUAUCAGCGCUGUACAACAAACCUAACGCUGCAGAGAUACCCGACCUCUAAUCAUUCACAGCUCCAGGCACUUUGCUCUUCAUCAUACUUGUCUAGACAGACUAAAUGGGUUCUGCAAGACAACCCCGGUGUCAGCCAGGAAAGAGGCUGCGUUUUUCCAUACAGAUGGAUGCCCAAACAGGUAUGGCGAUGGUUAGAUAUUCCCUCGAGCACAGGCAUCAUAAAAGUGGUUCAUCAUGCUGUAUAAAUGCGCUGUAAUGCUGUGCCUCCUCCCAAGAAAUCAAGUGCUUUUCAAGUGGUGUCGCCGGGCAGGGGAUGUUUAUGGGCGUUUUACAGCGGAGGAGAAGGAGGGGGCUCCAAGGUGGUGCCGCGGCCGAGGAGCCACAAAGCCAGAAUGGCCGGGGUUGGGGGGGGGGGGGGGCACACCAAUGACUGACCCCAA
This is a long non-coding RNA of Chroicocephalus ridibundus (black-headed gull), 5181 nucleotides long. RefSeq lists it as uncharacterized. Lineage: Eukaryota; Metazoa; Chordata; Aves; Charadriiformes; Laridae. The transcript is spliced from 3 exons. The record is from RefSeq and is a predicted model, not a curated record.